This 326-nucleotide ribosomal RNA is filed under the name uncultured bacterium. RNAcentral describes it as "bacterial SSU rRNA". It matches the Rfam family "Bacterial small subunit ribosomal RNA", at positions 29 to 346 of the family's 1533-position model. The record is from RNAcentral.
AACGAACGCUGGCGGCGCGCCUAAUACAUGCAAGUCGAACGAGAAGGUGUAGCAAUACACUUGUACAGUGGCGAACGGGUGAGGAAUGCAUGGGCAACCUACCCUCGAGUGGGGAACAACCAGCCGAAAGGUUGGCUAAUACCGCGUACGCUUCCGGGUCUCCGGAUCCGGAAGGAAAGUCACACCGUGGGUGUGACGCUCAAGGAUGGGCUCAUGUCCUAUCAGCUUGNGGUGAGGUAACGGCUCACCAAGGCAACGACGGGUAGCUGGUCUGAGAGGACGAUCAGCCACACUGGCACUGCGACACGGGCCAGACUCCUACGGGA